AUUGAACGCUGGCGGCAGGCCUAACACAUGCAAGUCGAGCGGGGGUAGCAAUACCCUAGCGGCGAACGGGUGAGGAAUGCUUGGGAAUCUGCCUCGUAGUGGGGGAUAACGUUCCGAAAGGAACGCUAAUACCGCAUACGUCCUACGGGAGAAAGGGGGGGAUCUUCGGACCUCUCGCUAUGAGAUGAGCCCAAGCGGGAUUAGCUAGUUGGUGAGGUAAAGGCUCACCAAGGCUACGAUCCCUAGCUGGUCUGAGAGGAUGAUCAGCCACACUGGAACUGAGACACGGUCCAGACUCCUACGGGAGGCAGCAGUGGGGAAUAUUGGACAAUGGGCGAAAGCCUGAUCCAGCCAUGCCGCGUGUGUGAAGAAGGCCUCGGUUGUAAG
Molecule: ribosomal RNA, 387 nt
Filed under: uncultured bacterium
Lineage: Bacteria
Description: bacterial SSU rRNA
Rfam family: Bacterial small subunit ribosomal RNA
Source: RNAcentral